UACGUAGGGUGCGAGCGUUGUCCGGAAUUAUUGGGCGUAAAGAGCUCGUAGGCGGUGUGUCACGUCGGCCGUGAAAACCUGCAGCUUAACUGUGGGCGUGCGGUCGAUACGGGCAUCACUGGAGUUCGGCAGGGGAGACUGGAAUUCCUGGUGUAGCGGUGAAAUGCGCAGAUAUCAGGAGGAACACCGGUGGCGAAGGCGGGUUUCUGGGCCGAUACUGACGCUGAGGAGCGAAAGCGUGGGGAGCAAACAGG
Molecule: ribosomal RNA, 254 nt
Filed under: uncultured bacterium
Lineage: Bacteria
Description: partial 16S ribosomal RNA
Rfam family: Bacterial small subunit ribosomal RNA
Source: RNAcentral